CAUAACUCUGCUGCCUGUUCGUCUUGCUUGUUGCUCGUCUUCUUGGUUCCAACUUCUUAUGCUCUUCCGUCCGCAUAGGUGUGGUCGGCCCCGUCUUUGGGACUCAUUCACCGACAGCAGUGGACGGAGCUCCUCCUCUCUUGUCCGCUGCAUGCGCAUGAAUGUGUCGCCGCCUAUGCUGGUGUCGUCGCAACCUUUCCUCUUCAAUCCACAGCAGCCGCAGCAGUAGCAAUCGCUUUCUUCACACAUCCCUUAUCAACAGCAACAGUACCAGCAGCACUACAUCUUCCCAGUCCCUUCUGGGCUCUGCCCACGAAGACCGAGACAGCAUCGGCAGUAGUAUUGGCACCAGCUGUAAUGAUGUUCCUUCCUUCUUCCUCCCUUUCCGUUCGGAGUGGAGCAGCAGAAACGUCGCCAUCUUUGACGUGCGGGAAGAGAGGUUGGUGGCUUUGCUGGAUCGCUGCGCCUCGCCGCUCCAUCUCAAGCUCGUCCAUGCCCACCUCCUCAGGCACGGCCUGGACCAAAGCAAUUAUGUUAUCACUAAGCUGCUGCGCACGUUCACCAAGCUGUGCACCGAUAUGGCGUAUCCGCGCCUCCUCUUCCGCCAGGUCCGGUGGCCUAACGCCUUCCUGUGGACCGCCUUGAUCCGGGGAUAUGCCCUCAAUGGGCCUAUCGCGGAGGCCCUCCAUCUCUAUGGCUCCAUGAGGAGGAAUGGCGCUAGUCCCACCUCCUUCACCUUCUCUGCCCUUCUCAAGGCUUGUUCUGCCAUCGGUUCCGUUUAUGCAGCUCGUGGGGUCCAAGCCCACACUAUGAUGCUCGCCUUCGAUUCGGAUCUCUUCGUGCAAAACACCCUUAUCGACGGUUACGUGAGAUUCGGGUGCUUAAGUGAUGCUCGCAAGGUGUUCGACGAAAUGCCUGAGAGAGAUGUUAUUUCAUGGACGGCGCUGAUUGUGGCGUAUGCGAGGUGUAGUGAUAUGGAGGCUGCUCAGCGGUUGUUCAAUGAUUCACCACACAAGGAUAUGGUGGCGUGGACUGCCAUGAUUUGUAGCUAUGCUCAGAACGCCAAGCCGAAAGAAGCACUCCAAUUGUUUGAUAGGAUGUGUGCAGCAGGUGUCCCUACUGAUGAGGUGACGUUGGUGGGCGUGAUUUCUGCCUGUGCACAACUUGGUGCCGCUUCUUAUGCGAAGUGGGUGCACAAUGUGGCAGAGGAACGUGGGCUUGAUGGAAACCUCGUUGUGGGAUCAGCACUCAUCGACAUGUAUGCGAAAUGUGGGAACAUCCAAGAGGCGUACCGAGUGUUUGAGAAGAUGUCUGAGAGGAAUGUUUACUCAUACAGCGCAAUGAUUGUUGGCCUUGCAAUGCAUGGCCAGAGUAAAUCAGCUCUCGAGGUGUUCUCCUGCAUGAAAGAAACUGAUGUCAAGCCAAAUUCAGUCACGUUUAUUGGUGUCUUAACUGCCUGUAGUCAUACAGGUAUGGUCGACGAAGGGCGUCACUGUUUUACCAGCAUGCAAGAUGAAUAUGGGAUUCUGCCUUCUGCUGAUCACUAUGCUUGUAUGGUGGAUCUCUUGGGACGUGCUGGCCGAUUGGAAGAAGCAUAUGAGAUGAUCAAAAGUAUGCCAGUUGAACCUCAUGCAGGUGUAUGGGGUGCAUUGCUUGGAGCUUGUAGAAUUCACAGUAAUGUGGAUCUUGCGGAGAUUGCAGCUCGCCAGCUUUUUAAGCUUGAGCCAGAUGGUAUCGGUAAUCACAUUCUGCUCUCCAACAUAUAUGCUGCUGUCGGAAGAUGGGAAGAUGUAUCCUCGGUACGGAAAAUGAUAAGAGAAAAAGGACUAAAAAAGAGUGCUGGGUAUAGCUGGUUUGAAGCCAAGGAUGGUAGAAUUCAUGAGUUCUUUGCAGGGGAUAGCUCCCACCCUCUUUCCCGAGAGAUAUAUGUGCUAUUGGAUGAAUUAUAUGAGAAGUUGAAGAUUUUGGGACAUGUUCCUGUUCUGAAUUCUGUUGUUUAUGAUGUCAGUGAUGAUGAGAAGGAGAGCAUUCUUAGGCGGCACAGUGAGAGGCUGGCACUUGCCUUUGGCCUCCUUAGUACGAAUCCUGGUACAACCAUUCGCAUUGUGAAGAACCUCCGCAUCUGUGAAGAUUGUCACUCUUUCAUGAGGAAAGCCUCCUUGGUUGCAAAUCGAAUCAUUGUGGGAAAUUGCUUCAAUUAAACAGACUCUAAUAGUGCAUCCUGGUACUGAGCUCUUGACCUUACUCAAACUUGAAAGUUUUAACCCUCUAGACAAGGGAUGGAGCUUUCAUUGGCUCAUUCUGGAAGCCAGUCCACUUAAAUCAACAAAUUGGGUACUCAGUGAAUGGGAAGCAAGUAAAAUGUAAAUUAGAAAUGUGAAAAAAAUGGCUAUAGUACGUAUGUUCAUCGCUCAAAGAAGUUCACUAAGUAGGUGAACUUCAAGUUGCUAGGCCUAGCAUAAGCAGACAUUCAUCAAGAUGGACCCAAAUGCCAGCGCUUAGAGAGCACUCUCAUGGGAAUCACUCCACUACAACAAAGCUUAGCAGUAGCAAUGGUCUACAUAACUUCCCACUGAACGUAGAAAAAAGGGAAUUUUCGUCUCUGAAAAAUUUUGAAAGUUUCUGAGGAGACGUGGAGGUGGAUUCCAACCAGCCCUGGUUUCCAAUGACACAUAGGAGAGAGGACAAUACUAAAGCCUAAAGGGCUGCUGAUCAUGGAAGCUGCAGAAGAGCAACAGCAGAAGAAUGAAGGAGAGACUGCUGGAUAAAUAUGUAAGAAGCACCUAGCAGAGGAAGAUGGGAAGAACAAGGUCUCGCCUGAGAAGUUUGCCUCCACACUCAAGCUAUGCUUUCCAUUUUUCUCCGUUUUGGUUUUUAUCUUUUUCAUCUGAGGCUUUUUCUUUCUUUUUCAGUAGAAGACAAGCUCUUUGCUAUUGGCAUUCUUGUUUUUUUUUUACCACUUCUCAGAAGGCAGAUAGAUCUGGCCACUGAAUGAAUUCAGGCCAAAGGAAAAAAAAAAAAAGCCUUACAUGAUCUGCUAAUCAGCAGGACCUCAGCCUCUCUUUUUGUUAAGAUCUAGAUAGGUUUUUGUUCAUGACUAGAUAUUUUUUUCUUCAUCACUUUGUCAAUAUAUACUGAAAAUUGUAUAUCUGGAUACAAUUCAUCAAUGUCUAAUCAAUUUUGAUCCACUGUUCUCAUCAAGGGUGAGACUUGAAAACACAUUUACAAUCUGAAUAGGUGCAACAAGAUCUGAAUCAUUUUCUUUUGAACAGUGAUGAGCUCUUUGGCAAUUUGAAGCAUUUCUCGAAAUGUGUAAUUUUUUUAGAAAUGUAAUGAAAUUGGGCAUAUAGAUCUAUGGACCAAAUGAUGAAUUUUAAAGCUUCGGCUUUUUAUUAACCCUAUUUUUUCCAGUCAUAUCUUUUUGAGGAUCAAGUUUUCAAGUCAAAGAUCGCUUCAGAAUAAUUUGUAGACAUGGACACCUAAUUCUUUUGGUGUUUUCAUAAAUGAAAUUAAUGAGUCAAGGGGACCUGGGUCUCAGCAUGAUCUUGUUCUUUUUCAUCUGGUUUUCAAAUAGCUGUUAUCAGUUAUGUUACUUAAUAUUUCUUGAGUUUGUCUGAGCUUACAGGUUGGGUAGUUGGUAGUUGAUGGCUAACAUUAGGAUGUGUGUUUCAAGUUCAGAAAGUAUUCAUUGUCUUCAAGUUCCAACCAUAUUUAGAGAUUCUUAUCUGGUCAUGACAUUGGAUAUUCUGGAACUGCCAUUUUAUUGAAACCCUUGAGCUUACUUGCUAGUAUUAAUGAGUAAUGGUUCAUUCUUUAGUUUGAUCAUUGCAAUUCUAUUUAUUGGCAGAUCAUUGAUUGCAUUUCUUAUUCUGUGCUUAUGAUGAUUCUUAUUUGCCUUUUUUUUUUAAAUUUUUCUGUUUCAGCAGGUUAUGGGUUCAUUAGUUACAUUUUCAUCUCAAGUUAAUCUGACUGAUUUAGUUCAUUAACUGAAGUUUGUUGACAACGGAGGUUCUUCUGAAGUAUAUGCUUCUGAGGUUACUGCAGAGGAUAAAAACAGCAGCCAGUAGGAAAUUUUGUGGUCCAACUGCAUUUCAAGUACCCUUGGACAAAAUUCAGUCAAUCCAUUAUUAGGAUUGUUCCACUUCCUAUUGUAAAUAUACUGAUGAUGAGUUCCAGUCAACCACUAAAGAGUUAUAGGAGUAUUGUUUGCGUCUCCUUUUGAAGUUUUAGCUUGGAUCAUCUCUUAGGUACCUGCUUAAUUUUCCUAAUUGUACCAAUUAAAUUAUGUUAGUUCUUACCAAGUUUGAGAUUGUGGUCCCAAGCACACAGUUGAGCAGAAGUCUUGAAAUUAUAGAUUAAACUUUCUAAUAUUUAGGUUAUCGUUUAUGUCUUUUAUGUGCUGAUUGUCAAAUUCAUACUUUCACACGUGGUCACAGAAAGCACGUUUUUUUUUUAUAAAAUGCAAAAAAAUGCGAUAAAUUAACUGGCAGUUUAAAACUAAAAAAAAGCACUUUUUUUUUUGAAAAAAAUGCAUUUUUAAUGCAUUUUUUUUCAGUUUUUUCAUUUUUUUAGUUUUUUAAUGUCAAAACAGUUUUUUUUUUUCAUUUUCUAUUUUUAAUGUCAAACAGUUUUUAGUUUUUUGUAAUGUCAAACAGUUUUUAUCAGCAGAUUGUUUCCUGAUUUUCUGUCCUCCUUCCUGGGCAGGUACUUGUAAAAAUGUCUCUAUCCUAUGUCUCAUUAAUUAGCUACUGUCUCUGAAAAGGUUUGUGAAGCUUUAGAUUCUCAUUUCCUUUUUCUGUUUUCCUUGUCAAGAAGUGUGGUUGAAUCAGAGAUUAUCAUUAUGUGAACAAAUCAAACUUUAAUUCUGAUAUUGAAAGGCUCCAUUUGAAAUUCUGGAAUUGGAAGUAGCCCUGUGAUAUGGCUUAUCUGCAUCUGUUACUGCAGUACAAAGUAAAUGACCUGAGUUUUGAAGCUCACUGCGCUGGAAUUUGCUAUUACUAGGUCUUGUUUUAUUAGUGAUUAACAUGUUCUGUAUGCUGCAGAUUAUAUAGACCCUGUUUGUUGAAGUUGGGUUUCAUCAGGUGGCAGUAGUCGAGGAGGAUCAGAUGGUGCAAACAGCGUUGGAGUUACAUAUAAAGUCCAGUCUUUGAUCUUCCAUUG
Molecule: RNA transcript, 5160 nt
Organism: Nymphaea colorata (pocket water lily)
Lineage: Eukaryota; Viridiplantae; Streptophyta; Magnoliopsida; Nymphaeales; Nymphaeaceae
Gene name: pentatricopeptide repeat-containing protein At5g44230
Exons: 3
Source: RefSeq, a predicted model, not a curated record